AUGACUUUCAUCAUCAUCUUCAUCUGGACACUGACUUUCUACAUUCAGGAGAGUUGUGGACAAGUGACAGUGACUCAAACACCACAGAUGACAUCCAUUACACAAGGAGGAACCGUUGAAAUCAGCUGUAAAACAAGUCAGCCAAUUUCUGGCUGUAGUGACUGUGUUUCAUGGUAUCAUCAGAAACCUGGAGAAGCUCCUAAACUCCUCAUUUAUUACAUCAGGAGACUUCAGUCAGGAACUCCAUCAAGAUUCAGUGGCAGUGGAUCAAACUAUGGAAGUGAUUUCACUUUGACCAUCAGUGGAGUUCAGACUGAAGAUUCAGGAGAUUAUUACUGUCAGAGUUAUCACAGUGGUCCAGUGUACACACAGUGA
Molecule: non-coding RNA, 375 nt
Organism: Paramisgurnus dabryanus
Lineage: Eukaryota; Metazoa; Chordata; Actinopteri; Cypriniformes; Cobitidae
Source: the annotation of a RefSeq genome assembly